GCAUACAAUCUUUAAACCUAGUCGGCCUUGGCGGCAGAAGCAGCAGCUUGACCUCUGAGACGACCAGUCCUCCUAGCAGCAAUAAGACCAACCUUCUGUCCUGGUGGUGCGUCACGCCUGACCGUACUGGCGUGACCAAUGUGCUGAUGGUUACCUCCUCCGUGAGGAUGCUCAACAGGGUUCAUAGCCACACCACGAACCUUAGGCCAUGAGUUUCUCUUCACACGGUACUUGUGGUACGCGUUUCCUGCCUUGAGCAUCGGCUUCUCGGUU
RNAcentral lists this long non-coding RNA (273 nucleotides) under Eutrema salsugineum. Its description in RNAcentral is "long non-coding RNA (ESAL_LNC001787)". Lineage: Eukaryota; Viridiplantae; Streptophyta; Magnoliopsida; Brassicales; Brassicaceae. The record is from RNAcentral.